Molecule: long non-coding RNA, 319 nt
Filed under: Vigna radiata
Lineage: Eukaryota; Viridiplantae; Streptophyta; Magnoliopsida; Fabales; Fabaceae
Description: long non-coding RNA (VRAD_LNC011542)
Source: RNAcentral
GGUUAAGAAUAAUUGUAUGAUGUGAAAAGGUUCAAGUUUGGGGUUGUUGGGGAAAAUUGCAAAACAAAGGAAAGACAUUGAACUCAAGUGUUGAAAAAGAAAAGUGCAUGAGAAAAGAAAAAGCAUGAAAGAUGAGCUCAAUGUAAAAAUAAAAGAAAAGGGAAGAAGUUGGGAAUGAGUGAGAUUGGUGAAAAAGAGAGUUUGUACUUGAACUUUGAAUGUUAAAAUAACUCUCUUGACUCAAGGAUUUUAUGAUGGCCCAGCCUCAUUAUAAGCCUUGGAAAAUUCCUUGUGAUGACAUUUGCAUGUGAGAAUUUUG